GUGAGGAAUCUUCCACAAUGGGCGAAAGCCUGAUGGAGCAACGCCGCGUGCAGGAUGAAGGCCUUCGGGUCGUAAACUGCUUUUAUAAGUGAAGAAUAUGACGGUAACUUAUGAAUAAGCACCGGCUAACUACGUGCCAGCAGCCGCGGUCAUACGUAGGGUGCAAGCAUUAUCCGGAGUGACUGGGCGUAAAGAGUUGCGUAGGUGGUUUGUUAAGUAGGUAGUGAAAUCUGGCGGCUCAACCGUACAGGCUAUUACCUAAACUGGCAAACUCGAGAAUGGUAGAGGUAACUGGAAUUUCUUGUGUAGGAGUGAAAUCCGUAGAUAUAAGAAGGAACACCAAUGGCGUAGGCAGGUUACUGGACCAUUUCUGACACUGAGGCACGAAAGCGUGGGGAGCGAACGGGAUUAGAUACCCUUGUAGUCC
This 427-nucleotide ribosomal RNA is filed under the name uncultured bacterium. RNAcentral describes it as "partial 16S ribosomal RNA". It matches the Rfam family "Bacterial small subunit ribosomal RNA", at positions 354 to 796 of the family's 1533-position model. The record is from RNAcentral.